AGCGAACGCUGGCGGCAGGCUUAACACAUGCAAGUCGAGCGGGCACUUCGGUGUCAGCGGCAGACGGGUGAGUAACACGUGGGAACGUACCCUUCGGUUCGGAAUAACGCUGGGAAACUAGCGCUAAUACCGGAUACGCCCUUUUGGGGAAAGGUUUACUGCCGAAGGAUCGGCCCGCGUCUGAUUAGCUAGUUGGUGGGGUAAUGGCCUACCAAGGCGACGAUCAGUAGCUGGUCUGAGAGGAUGAUCAGCCACACUGGGACUGAGACACGGCCCAGACUCAGCGGGGAGGAGGGGGGGGGGAAUAUGGAAAAGGGGGCGAAAGCUUGACCCCGCCUGCCGGGGGGGUGGAUAAGGCCUUAGGGGUUGAAAACCUUUUUGGUCGGGGAGAAAAAGGCGGGAACGGGAAAAAAAGCCCCCGCCAACCUUCGGC
RNAcentral lists this ribosomal RNA (433 nucleotides) under uncultured bacterium. Its description in RNAcentral is "partial 16S ribosomal RNA". It matches the Rfam family "Bacterial small subunit ribosomal RNA", at positions 30 to 508 of the family's 1533-position model. The record is from RNAcentral.